UAGUUCCUGAAGAACCACUGAUGCCCCGGUUGAAGAGCACGACCUUCCCAGACAGAAGGAGGACUGUCCUUUGUCAAGGGUAUAUGAGUAGCUGGGCUCCCCUGCUAGAACCUCCAAACAAGUCUCAAGGCCCACUGGGACUUCGUAACAAAGAAAAC
RNAcentral lists this small RNA (158 nucleotides) under Echinops telfairi (small Madagascar hedgehog). RNAcentral's name for it is "7SK RNA (ENSETEG00000025873.1)". It matches the Rfam family "7SK RNA", at positions 109 to 272 of the family's 331-position model. Rfam says of the family: 7SK was discovered as an abundant small nuclear RNA in the mid-70s but a possible function has only recently been suggested. Two independent studies have found that 7SK RNA binds the CDK9/cyclin T complex (known as elongation factor P-TEFb). P-TEFb activates transcription by phosphorylating the C-terminal domain of RNA polymerase II. The record is from RNAcentral. Lineage: Eukaryota; Metazoa; Chordata; Mammalia; Afrosoricida; Tenrecidae.